Molecule: ribosomal RNA, 524 nt
Filed under: uncultured bacterium
Lineage: Bacteria
Description: bacterial SSU rRNA
Rfam family: Bacterial small subunit ribosomal RNA
Source: RNAcentral
UUGUAAAGCUCUGUGGGAAGGGGCGAAAAACUCAGACCUAAUACGUCUGAGGUUGACGGUACCUUCUUAGCAAGCACCGGCUAACUCUGUGCCAGCAGCCGCGGUAAGACAGAGGGUGCAAACGUUGCUCGGAUUUACUGGGCGUAAAGCGCACGCAGGCGGCUAGGUAAGUCUGACGUGAAAUCUCCCGGCUUAACCGGGAGCGGUCGUUGGAAACUACUUGGCUUGAGGCGAUGAGAGGGGUGUGGAAUUCCCGGUGUAGUGGUGGAAUGCGUAGAUAUCGGGAGGAACAUCAGUGGCGAAAGCGGCACCCUGGCAUUAGCCUGACGCUCAGGUGCGAAAGCGUGGGGAGCGAACGGGAUUAGAUACCCCGGUAGUCCACGCCGUAAACGAUGAACACUAGGUGUGGGGUGGUCUCAAAAUCAUCUGUGCCGAAGUAAACGCGAUAAGUGUUCCGCCUGGGGAGUACGGCCGCAAGGCUAAAACUCAAAGGAAUUGACGGGGGCCCGCACAAGCAGCGGAGC